AAAUGAAAUAGUCUAUUUCUCCCUCAAAAGUUCUUCUCCAAAACCCUUCUUCUUCUUCUCUAUCCCUUAUCUCUAUCCCAACUCUUUUCCCUAACCCUCACCUCUCAAUCCUCAUCUCUGCCUAUCUCUCUACCUCUAUUUCUCUUCUCUCUAUCUCAAUCCCAAUUUCUAUCUCUAUUUCCUCACCUCUCUAGCCUCGGUUACCGAUUACGUUACCUCGGAUCCGCGACCAGAAGUACCAAGAACCUGAACCGAGCCAGAAGGGAUAUUACAAUUGGUAUCAGAGCGGCACUGUCCUAGGGCCGUGGGCAGCGGGAAUUCAACAGGAGCAAGAACGUUGGAGUUUCAGCAGCUGUGAGGAAUUACUUCGAACAGUGGAGGCACAACAGGUAACAUCAUCCAACUAGAAUAAUUAAGCAACAGAAGGCUCACACGAGGGUGUACCGAGGUAGUAGCAAGGACUAGUGCUGGUUCUAUUGCAAUUAGAACAGCACCAGGCCUCAGACAAGCAUCAUUGGCACCUCGGCCGAAUUACUGUAGCAGGUGUUAAUUCCAGACCAAACAAUAGUGAAGCAAUCACAGUAGCGUCCAGGGGCAACAAUUGGAAAAAAGAGCGAAAACCGAUUCAAAUUCGAAACCAUGAGAAGUGAGAUCCCAGGGAUCGGUGCUGCGAUAGUCGCGUGAUUCCGAUUCUUAGAAUUGUAGAGUCAGUUGCGACAUAGCUACUUGCGCUGCGAGAAUCAGCUUCGGCUGGAUCUCGACAAAAGGAGCCGUAGCGGAAUCACACUGAUUCUGAGUUUUGCACAGUUCUAGCAGAGCUAAUUUCUGCUCGAUUGUGAAGCUCCCACCUGGUUCCUGCGAACGAUUCUCAAGCAGGUAGAUCCCACAUUGUAUAGCUUAGCAAAAUUGGUUCGGCACGAGGCAACAGAUUUAAAUUCACUAGUAGCUUGUACCAAGGCAAGAGAAGAAUUAGUUACUGUCCAGGGAUAGAAGGCAAAAUGGCUAAUGGAACAAGGUUGCGGCAACAAACCACUAGCUAUAAUCAAAGCUUUGAAGAAGCAUUACAAAGUGCUCGGGUUGUUAAUCAGAAGUUAGAUGUCUUAGUUGAAGCACUACAAAAGGAAGAGGCAAGGAGGCACGAAAUCAUGAUGCAGGAGAAUGCCCGCAGACAUGAACAACUCCUAGAGUUGAUUAGGAGCCGAUUUGUGCAUGCUAGAGAAGAAGAGAUAACAAUGCAAGUUCCAAAAGAAGAGAAAGAGCUAAUACCCAUACCCAUUCCUCUAGAGAAAAGAGUUAGUUCAUUGACUAAUUCCGUAAUCUACCAACCAGCUGCAGUAAAGGACGCCGAGCAAAAACACCAAAUGAAUCUACAGAUUGGGGCCAGCAGGAAGUAUGAAGUGAAAUUGAGAGACGGUGCUAGCAAGCCAGAGGAGCGGCUGAAGCUGCCCGCAGUACAACCACCUCUGCUCAGGCCUGCCUACAAUGCACUUAAUGCCUACACUGCUCCAACAGAAAUGGGUAGUACCGCAGAAGCUGCUGAGGACACAGCCCAUAAUUCUAAAGAAAACAUUGAUCAUGAUCUUAUAGAAGGGGCUGUUGCAAGUAAGCGAGCAACGAUGCAAGGGCGAUGCUAUGGAUACGGAGAGGAAUAUAUUAUAGGAAAGCAAUGCAAGAACAGCUCCCUGCAUGUGUUACAAACACAGAAAAAGGUUGAAAUGGGUGUUGAAUCUGAAACAGCAAAAGAAGAAGAAAGGGAGCUACAAAAAGUAGAUGAAGGGAAUGUCUAUGAGGCUAUAGGUAUCCAGGAGUCAGGCAACCAAACCCAAUUAAUUUUGAAUGAUGAUAGAAACCUACAUAGCCUCAUUGACUUCGGGAUUGCAAAGGCUACCCAAGUUGAAUCUACUACUUUUGCAACCUUGAGAACGAUAGCGGACUGUGAUCACAAGAUGCUAAACAAAAGUUAUUACCCUCAGUUUGCAAAGAAUAAGCGAGAACAUCAGUUCCUUGUUGAUUCAAAAAAAUUGGGGCUCAAAGAUUCAGAUGCAGUGCUUGGAGUUUAUUGGAUGAAGGAAUUUAGGCAAGUGCCUUUUGAUCCAGGACCUAACAAGGUAACAAUUCAUAGUAUUGAAGAAGCUUCUCACAUGCCUAACAUCACAAAUGAAAUGCCAAUGGUAAUCAAGCAUAGAGCACAAUUACUAGCAGCUCAGCCCUAUAUGAUUAAAUCUGGAGCAACAAUGGAGGAGAUGCAUUCUUGUAUACAAAAGCUACAUAGAGAAAUUGAAGAUGAAGGUAAUAAGCCAGCUACACCACAUAGUUGCAAUAGAUCUUCUAUAUUGGGAACAAGUACAGUUUUAAGCCCAGAAAAUAGACCCCUUGCUUAUCUCAGUCCAAUAUGGAACCAAAUUCAUUAUGUGCAGUCCACCUAUGAGAACGAAUUCAUUGCAAUUCUAUGGGAAGAGAGCAAUCUGUAUCAUGCCAAGUCCUUCCCGACAAUGGAAUUUCUGUGGCUCGAUGGAAAUAACACUUGGAAGUGGAUUAGCAGUUAUGAGAAUUACUGUAAGCUACACCAAAUCAGUAAUCAACAAAAGGUGGAAAUUGCAACAAUGUUGAGGCAGCAAAUGAGACCACAAGACUUGCGGGUUCAAAUGCUAAGUCCAAUUCUUAGUCUGGCAGAGGCUUGCUAUGUGUGGGAUUAUGUGAAUGAGUACAAGAAGCUAGGAACUGUGCUUAAGAUGCCUCACCCAUGCUCGCGAUUUCUGGCCUAUGAACAAGACAAACUGCAGGAAUCUGAUGAAUUGAUUGCCUAUCUAAACAAUGGAUUGAAUCAAAAGCAUCAAGGAAGAUCCAUCUAUAAGAUGGAGACAAUUGCAAUUAUGCUGGUGGUGGCCACAUCGGAACAAAAUGUAAAACACAAGCAGUUAGUCAGCAGGAUAAACCAUGGAGACCACAAACAACUACUGGAACAGAAGGAUCACAUUGUUAUCCAGCAACUAGAGCAAAACUGUAAUGUGGGCUUAAGAGCUAAGAAGAAAAUUAGGCUCAAACAAUGCCACUAUGGGCUGUCCCCUGCAAGAUGGUGGAAGAAAGAGCAGGUCAUACACUUCUUUGAAGAACCACCAAACAAGCAACAACAGAGGAAAGAGUAUAAUGCUGAUAAAAGAAGAAGUAAAGGAGUUUUUGAGGUGAAAGAGCAAUUAUGCUUGAAGUUGUUACUCUGUGAGCAACCUAUCAUGUCUCUGGAAGGGUAUCUGAGGCUCACAAUUAACCAAUUUGGACUUUACUAUAUCUCGGAGCAAACAAGAUCGGCGGCGCGCAGGUUGCGACUACCUGAUGGUCCCAAGGGUGAACUCCUGCCCCAACAGGGCCGCCGUCCAUGCUACCAGCCGGAGGAGAUGGUCGAGUGUAGACAUAAUUGGAAAACACCUCAGAUCGGCGUGAAGGGGGGCAAGAAAACAGAACCGAUAUUAGAAAAUGGCUUAAAGAAGCAAUUUUGAAGAAGAAUGUGCCGCGAGGGAAGCAAAUGGGAGUCCCAACCCAGUUCAACAAGUUCCAUCCUUGAGGACAAGGAUGAUUUUAAGGGGAGGGGAUUGUAACAACCCUUGAAGAAUAAAUNUAAUAUAUAUACUUUGAUUUAGAUAUAUUUUAAUAUAUUUUAAUUGUUUUAUAUGCAGGUCGUAUUCGUGAUUUCCCUGUCAUGCUUACCAAACGUCAAACUUUUAUGAAUGCAAGUGGUAAGUCUGUAAGUAAAUACCUCUGACUUAUCCAAAUUAUGUACAACUAUCUGAAGCAAUUUUUAUUAUUAUCCUAUUCCAAUUUUAUGAUGCAAAUUAGGGCUUCUUUAUGUAGGUCGGUUCGCUGGUUUCAUAUUACAAGAUACCACUGAAUCAGGUACUUCCGGUAUAUAUAUCAUAUUGUUGUUAUGCAACUAUUGAUAUUUAGUUCUUACUAUUAGUUUUUUAUGGAUUUUUAGUUUUGUUACUUUGCAGAUGUAUGAUGAUUUGGAUUUACCUUUUGCAAAAUUGCGUCUACUAUAAAAUGUCGAAACUUAAAAUUUUAAUUUUUACAUUUAAAAGUAAAAUUUCAAUAUUUAAAGUUUAGUAUUUGAUUUUUUUAAAUUCAAUUUGUAGUUUAAUAUUUAAAAUAUUGAAUGUUUAAAUUUAAAAUGAAACUUACAAUUUAAAAUUGUAUAUUUUUCCUUAAUUACUAAAACUAAAUUUUAAAAUUUUUAUGUUUUAAAUUUUAAAUUUUAGUUUCUAAAUUGUAGAUCUUAAUUUUAUACUAAAAUUAUAAAUUUUAAAAUUUUGAAAAUUAUAUUUAUUAAUUUACUAAAAUAUAUCAUGAAAUUUCAUAUUACCUAGCUGAAUUCCUAAAAAUUCAAAAUUACAGCGCGUUAUUCAAUACAUAUAAAAUUUUAGAAUUUAAAAAAUUAGAAAUCAACAAAACUCUAUAUAAAAUCAUAUAUUCAAAAUACACAAACUAAAUUAAAAUAAAAUAUAUUUUUGAAAAUUUAAAUUUCCAAAUUGUUAAUUUCAAAUUUCAGAAUUUAAAAAUAAGGGAGUUAGAAAUUUUAAAGUUUAAAUAAAUUACAUAAAUUUUCCACCGGGUUCUGCAACUGGAUGCACCCUUCACUGCUUUUCAAUGAAUUUUUUUCUUUAACAGUGUCACAGCAGGAAGAAGAANGUGCGGCAGGAGGGUCCGACGAGAAGCGCCUUCAAAGAGGCUCAGGCGAGCUUGUCGGAGCAAUCUGGCGAGAGGAGGUCCGGGCGGAGUCCAUGUCGUUGGGGCGAAGGAGAGAGCUAGCGGAUCAGAGGGGCCACACCUUGGAUCGGGGAAAAUUAGCGAACCCAAGAACCGCCGGGUUCCGGAUGGUGCGGAGAAGGACAAGCCCUACGCCCGCUUACCCGAUUACCAUGAGUUAUGGACCGGGAAGCCCAGAAGGAGGGCCCAACUAUCCCGGAUGGUGGCCCAACCAGUCAGCAUCUCAUUUCGUCAUUUUGUUGUUAAGCCCUCAGAGUUUAGUUAGUUUUCAAUUCAGCAUGGAUUCAAGGUAGUAUAAAUACAAGUAUGUAAUACGAACAAAGGCAUCAAUGAAAAUGAAAUAGUCUAUUUCUCCCUCAAAAGUUCUUCUCCAAAACCCUUCUUCUUCUUCUCUAUCCCUUAUCUCUAUCCCAACUCUUUUCCCUAACCCUCACCUCUCAAUCCUCAUCUCUACCUAUCUCUCUACCUCUAUUUCUCUUCUCUCUAUCUCAAUCCCAAUUUCUAUCUCUAUUUCCUCACCUCUCUAGCCUCGGUUACCGAUUACGUUAUCUCGGAUCCGCGACCAGAAGUACCAAGAACCUGAACCGAGCCAU
This 5351-nucleotide long non-coding RNA is filed under the name Ananas comosus (pineapple). RNAcentral describes it as "long non-coding RNA (ACOM_LNC006939)". The record is from RNAcentral. Lineage: Eukaryota; Viridiplantae; Streptophyta; Magnoliopsida; Poales; Bromeliaceae.